This 69-nucleotide small nucleolar RNA is filed under the name Falco tinnunculus (common kestrel). Its description in RNAcentral is "Small nucleolar RNA SNORD58 (ENSFTIG00000013628.1)". It matches the Rfam family "Small nucleolar RNA SNORD58". Rfam says of the family: snoRNA U58 is found in introns 1, 3 and 6 of the ribosomal protein RPL17 gene in humans. U58 is a member of the C/D class of snoRNA which contain C (UGAUGA) and D (CUGA) box motifs. Lineage: Eukaryota; Metazoa; Chordata; Aves; Falconiformes; Falconidae. The record is from Rfam by way of RNAcentral.
CUGCGGUGAUGACUUUCUUAGGACACCUUUGGAUCAAACUGUGAAAAGAAAGAGUAAUUUCUGAGCAGU